CAAUAGCGUAUAUUAAAGCUGUUGCGGUUAAAAAGCUCGUAGUUGGAUUUCUGUCAAGUACAACUGGUCCGCCCUCCGGGUGAGCACAUAGUUUGGUCUUGGCAUCUUGCUGGGAAUUGUUGCUGCACUUGGCUGUGUGGCGCAGUGCCCAGCACUUUCACUUUGAGGAAAUUGGAGUGUUUCAAGCAGGCAAUGCCUUUGAACACAGUAGCAUGGAAUAAUUAGAUUGGGCUUUUGCUCCAAUUUGUCGGUUUCUGGAGCUGAGGUGAGAAUUAAUGGGGAUUGUUGGGGGCAUCCGAAUUUAGCCGUCAGAGGUGAAAUUCUUGGAUCUGCUAAAGACGGACAACUGCGAAAGCGUUUGCCCAGGAUGUUUNCAUUG
RNAcentral lists this ribosomal RNA (379 nucleotides) under uncultured eukaryote. RNAcentral's name for it is "partial 18S ribosomal RNA". It matches the Rfam family "Eukaryotic small subunit ribosomal RNA", at positions 592 to 975 of the family's 1831-position model. The record is from RNAcentral.